Molecule: long non-coding RNA, 407 nt
Organism: Perca flavescens (yellow perch)
Lineage: Eukaryota; Metazoa; Chordata; Actinopteri; Perciformes; Percidae
Exons: 3
Source: RefSeq, a predicted model, not a curated record
CCCUGAGUGAAUCACAAUUUGCUGCAGUGCCACAGUCAACUCCAAAGAAGACUCUACAAAGAGGUAGUGAAUCCGCAUCAAUCCAGUCUGGUCUGUCCUCCUGCUUGACCCUACUUCUCUCUAGUCCAGAGCCAUCAUCUGUAAGACCUCUCACAAAGCCUUCACUAACUGGGACAUAUAUAGCACGACUUCCUUCAUGGGAACAAUCAGUGGACCAGGGUGCCACUGCACCAUCUUUGGCUGUCCCCCUAUCCAGCCCGUGGUGAUGUGUCACAAGAACCACCCAUACCACCAUCUUGGACUGGGCUGAGCUUCUUCAUAACCCAAUUCCAAAGAAAACUCAAUAAUAUUAAAUGCAAUAUGUCAACAUUUCAAGAUGAUGCCACAAAAGAGAUCAUUCAUUUCAA